UACAGAGGUCCCGAGCGUUGUUCGGAUUUAUUGGGCGUAAAGGGUGCGUAGGCGGCGGAGUAAGUUGGGUGUGAAAUCCCGGGGCUUAACCUCGGAAUGGCAUUCAAUACUGCUUCGCUCGAGUACUGGAGAGGAGGCUGGAAUUUACGGUGUAGCAGUGAAAUGCGUAGAUAUCGUAAGGAAGGCCGGUGGCGAAAGCGAGCCUCUGGACAGUUACUGACGCUGAGGCACGAAGGCCAGGGGAGCAAACGGG
This 253-nucleotide ribosomal RNA is filed under the name uncultured bacterium. RNAcentral describes it as "partial 16S ribosomal RNA". It matches the Rfam family "Bacterial small subunit ribosomal RNA", at positions 524 to 776 of the family's 1533-position model. The record is from RNAcentral.